This 277-nucleotide long non-coding RNA is filed under the name Setaria viridis. RNAcentral describes it as "long non-coding RNA (SVIR_LNC007339)". The record is from RNAcentral. Lineage: Eukaryota; Viridiplantae; Streptophyta; Magnoliopsida; Poales; Poaceae.
AUCUCAUAUCUAAAUUGAUGCUAAAUGAAGCAAAGUUGUGCUACGUCAGAUAAGUUUUCCAAUUCAGUGUUAAUCACUUUGUUUUUCUAUGUAUUGUCAGCUGACAAAGUAUUAACUAGGAUAUCGAUUGAUUCCCAGAUUCUGACCAUAGUGUCAUGUUGUGUUAUUUGCCUUUUUUUUAAAAAAAAGCAAUAAUUGGCCUAUUUGAAGUAACAAUAUACCGAUUGAAUUAAUGGUAAUGAAUGCACGGAGUCUUAACCAUACUAUACUACUCCCU